UGAGGAAUAUUGGUCAAUGGCGCAAGCCUGAACCAGCCAUGCCGCGUGUAGGAUGAAGCAUCUAUGGUGUGUAAACUGCUUUUGUACGGGAAGAAACACUCCUUCGUGAAGGAGCUUGACGGUACCGUAAGAAUAAGGAUCGGCUAACUCCGUGCCAGCAGCCGCGGUAAUACGGAGGAUCCAAGCGUUAUCCGGAAUCAUUGGGUUUAAAGGGCCCGUAGGCGGUUUAGUAAGUCAGUGGUGAAAGCCCAUCGCUCAACGAUGGAACGGCCAUUGAUACUGCUAGACUUGAAUUAUUAGGAAGUAACUAGAAUAUGUAGUGUAGCGGUGAAAUGCUUAGAUAUUACAUGGAAUACCAAUUGCGAAGGCAGCUUACUAUGGUUUUAUUGACGCUGAGGCACGAAAGCGUGGGGAUCAAACA
RNAcentral lists this ribosomal RNA (421 nucleotides) under uncultured bacterium. RNAcentral's name for it is "bacterial SSU rRNA". It matches the Rfam family "Bacterial small subunit ribosomal RNA", at positions 355 to 774 of the family's 1533-position model. The record is from RNAcentral.